AGAGUCCGGCUGCCUGGGGCGGGCGGCGCGUGUCUGCAGCUGCUCCGGGUAGCCCGCUAGGCGCGCCGUCCCCAGCCCCGCCGCCGGCCCUCGGUGCGCCCGGCCGCCUGCACCCCCAGGAGCAGCUGCUGUGAAUAAACACAGAAGUGGAGCUGGGGGACUGAUUAGAAGCCUCAUUCAGUGCACCUGGGCCCCAGCAGGCCCAGCCAGGCGUGGAGGAAGAGGCAUUGAGGACUUUCCUUACCUGUUUUUCCAGCUCACCCACUGCCAGCAGAGGGAGAAGGUGAUGGGGACAAGGAUGAGGCUUGAAGGAGCAGCUAGACAUCUGGAGGAAGAGUGCUCCGGGCAGAAGGCCCAGCAGGUGCAAAGGCCCUGAGGCUGGAACAGGCAUGGUGUGUUGGAGGAAUGCAAUGAGGCUGGGGUGGCUGGAGCAAACUAAG
RNAcentral lists this long non-coding RNA (440 nucleotides) under Homo sapiens (human). RNAcentral's name for it is "non-protein coding lnc-RPS28-4:2". The record is from RNAcentral. Lineage: Eukaryota; Metazoa; Chordata; Mammalia; Primates; Hominidae.